RNAcentral lists this long non-coding RNA (389 nucleotides) under Homo sapiens (human). Its description in RNAcentral is "HSALNT0314484". The record is from RNAcentral. Lineage: Eukaryota; Metazoa; Chordata; Mammalia; Primates; Hominidae.
GCUGCUCUCCAUACACUGCCUAGGGGCAGCCCUGCUCUUCAGGAGCAGUCACAGAGCUCUAAUACUGCCACCUCAGUAAAGCUGUUUUCUUCUCCCACUGGCUCACUCUUGAAUUCUCUCCAAGCAAAGCCAGGAAACUUCUCAGGCUAAGACCCAAUUCUAGGGCUUACCUGCCUUACAUCAAGCCUACACUUGCUAAAAGUUUUUCACGAACAUUAAAGUACCCUGAGAGCAGGUGACUAUUAUUCCCCUUUUUAGUUAAAGAAACUCAUCAUGGCCAGGCGCAAUGGCUCAUGCCUGUAAUCCCAGCACUUUGGUAGGCCGAGGUGGGUGGAUCACCUGAGGUCAGGAGUUCGAGACCAGCCUGGCCAACAUGAUGAAACCCCGUC